GCGUCAGUGGUGGAACGGUAGACACGCUACCUUGAGGGGGUAGUGCCCUAGUGGUGUGGAGGUUCAAAUCCUCUCUGACGCACCA
RNAcentral lists this transfer RNA (85 nucleotides) under Sulfurovum lithotrophicum. RNAcentral describes it as "tRNA-Leu". It matches the Rfam family "tRNA". Rfam says of the family: Transfer RNA (tRNA) molecules are approximately 80 nucleotides in length. Their secondary structure includes four short double-helical elements and three loops (D, anti-codon, and T loops). Lineage: Bacteria; Pseudomonadati; Campylobacterota; Epsilonproteobacteria; Campylobacterales; Sulfurovaceae. The record is from RNAcentral. RNAcentral also lists the same sequence under 13 other names.